Molecule: long non-coding RNA, 389 nt
Filed under: Lathyrus oleraceus (garden pea)
Lineage: Eukaryota; Viridiplantae; Streptophyta; Magnoliopsida; Fabales; Fabaceae
Description: Pisum sativum (pea) long non-coding RNA (PSAT_LNC027322)
Source: RNAcentral
AAUUGAAAAUUUUGUGAAUAAAUGAAUCCUAAUUUCUUUCGUGUCAAUUGAACCCUCAAACCGAGUUGUUUGCAAAUUUUGUCUUUUGCUUAUGUCUAAGUAGGGAACAUUAUUGAAUAAAUUUGGUUUUGGAAUCUAAAGUUUGGGAGAGUAAAGUAAAAAGAGUUGAUUAGAACUUGGAAAAGUGAGUUUUUAUGAAAGGGUGAAAGUAUGAAAAGAAACAAGAAAAAGAAAUCACCCUUGAAAUCAUAGAGCAAAGAAAAAGAAAAGAAAGAAAAAACAAAGAAAAGGCUCAUGGUUGUGUGGAUGUAAAAAAAAAUAAGAAAAGAAAAAAAGACGGGGAUCAAAGUAAUGGAAAUUGUGUAGAGUUGAAUGUAUGGGAAUGUUCC